AACUUUGUCCAAAAAGUUUUCCAUCACUAUAGACAGUGCAUUAUAAUUGGUGUCUAUAAAACAUCACUUUAGCUUUGACGGUUAGUCAAACCCACGCACUUUACAAGGCUUCAGUUUUUGAAUGUUCCUUUCGCUGUGGUGAGGAUUAAACCUGAUUUCUAAUGGGUGAAUAUUUAUAUGACCAUUGUUUUUCAAUCAAUAUUAAAUGCGAUGCGUUGAUGGAUAGAAUAAAACCAAUUGUAUCUUUUAAGAACCUGUCUGGAUUGUUAUAAAAUGAAAGAGAGGUGUCAGUAGGUGCAAAUAUUU
This 306-nucleotide small nucleolar RNA is filed under the name Lodderomyces parapsilosis CDC317. Lineage: Eukaryota; Fungi; Ascomycota; Pichiomycetes; Serinales; Debaryomycetaceae. The record is from RNAcentral.